UCAGCUGAGGGUUAGUCGGGACCUAACGCGAACCCGAAAGGGGUAGUGGAUGGACAAUGGGUUAAUAUUCCCAUACUUGCUCACACUAAAAAGGGGACGGUUCGAUGUAGCUAUUGAAGACGGACGGAAGUGUCAAGGCUUAGCCUUCGGGCGAAGCUGUUAUAGUGUAAUCGGAUCCAAGAAAAGCCGAAGUGAAGCAACCCGUACCAAAACCGACACAGGUGGUCGAGGAGAGAAUCCUAAGGUGCUCGAGUGAGUCGUG
The sequence is a ribosomal RNA, 262 nucleotides long. It matches the Rfam family "Bacterial large subunit ribosomal RNA", at positions 1369 to 1703 of the family's 2925-position model.